RNAcentral lists this ribosomal RNA (419 nucleotides) under bacterium. RNAcentral's name for it is "partial 16S ribosomal RNA". It matches the Rfam family "Bacterial small subunit ribosomal RNA", at positions 355 to 776 of the family's 1533-position model. The record is from RNAcentral.
UGGGGGAUAUUGCACAAUGGGCGAAAGCCUGAUGCAGCGACGCCGCGUGGGGGAUGAAGGCCUUCGGGUUGUAAACUUCUUUUGCUCUGAACAAGGCGCACCAUGGGGUGUGUUGAGUGUAGGGGUUGAUUAGCGCCGACUAACUACGUGCCAGCAGCCGCGGUAAUACGUAGGGCGCGAGCGUUGUCCGGAAUUAUUGGGCGUAAAGGGCUUGUAGGUGGCUGGUUGCGUCUGUCGUGAAAGCUCAUGGCUUAACUGUGGGUUUGCGGUGGGUACGGGCUGGCUUGAGUGCAGUAGGGGAGGCUGGAAUUCCUGGUGUAGCGGAGGAAUGCGCAGAUAUCAGGAGGAAUACCGGUGGCGAAGGCGGGUCUCUGGGCUGUUACUGACACUGAGGAGCGAAAGCAUGGGGAGCGAACAGG